ACUGUGAUGUUGUCAAAUUGAAAAAAUUAAAAGUGUGUUGUAUUGUUGUUAAGUUUUAAGGCAAUCUAUAAAAAAUGUGGAUAAAGGGGUUUUACUGACUUUCACAUUUGCUGUGACCUUGACCCGAUUUUCACCAGAAUUAGCUCAGCUGAAGCUGUUAUUGGUAUUUAUAAGCACACAAUAUCUUGAAAACUCUGGAUGUUAGACAGACAGACAAACCGAGAAUCAAGCAGAAUAAAUAAUAAAUAAAAAUAAACAAAAGUCCAAAAACAGUGGAUUAAAUGACACAUACAAUGUAACUAUACAGUAGUACAAUGUUGCCUAAACUGUACAAGUCAUAGGAAAUUUACAAGAUAAUAAACUGUCUGAUGAUGUCAUUAUGAAGAAUAGCACAGGUAAACAAAACAAUAUAAACAGUGACGUAAAUUCACAGCAAGCCUCGGACAUAUUCAAAGGUUUCCUGCACACAAACACUCCUGACAAAAAACAUGGAAAGAAAAAAAAAUCCCACCACCGUCUCUGAGUCAAUCACAUCUCUGCUUCCUUUCCAUUGGUUUUUCACUCCAACCACCAACCACGGAGCUCUCGACUGUUACUUCAGUCUAUCAUAGACGGCUGUGACAGAAAGAACGAUGAAAGGGAAAAUUCCUCAUCAGUGAUGGAGCUUCCACUGUUCCACAAAGUUCCACUCUGAAGGUUGUCAGAGUACAUAAACGAUGAAGUGGGGUGUUUUCAUACCUUUGGGAGUUAAAUCUGUAUCUGACACCAGCAGCAGGACAUAAUCACCGCCAUGUGCGUCUCUCAGUGGUCGACUCUCUGCAGCUCGGUGGUGUUGCUGUGUCUGCUGUGCAGCUCGGGAAACAUCUACCAGGAUGUCCCUUGAAGCAGAGAGCAACCUGCCAAGCACCCCAAGGCUGAUUAUGCUUGGUAAGAAGUCAUUUAUGAAAUAGAGCUGAUUAGACCAUAUUAAAAUGUCUGUUUGGCACAGGAGCUUUUCGUGGACACAGGUAUCCAGUCUCUGUUUUGUUAGCUCAAAUUUCUGUAAUUUCCUUUAUAAACCAAGGUUGUUGGACAUGUGUCUCAGUGAACCCAGCAAGGUAACAAUAUCAAAUUUCACAUUACAUAUUACUGAUCAACAUAGUAGUCUAGCUACACCAACAGCAGAAAUAAGGAAGUCAAUACUGUAAAGUUUAACAGCAGCACAAACUAUAAACUCCAAAAUAACCAUACAGUUGAUUCAUCUCCGGUAAUUUAAUUGGGCUGACUCUUUGUUAGGUGUGUUUAAUGUGCAGAAUAAUUCCCAAUUAUGUACAAUUCUAAUAUGUUAAAACGGACUUAUGUACAUAAGGCCAUUAAUAAUUAACUGUAUGUAGCUAUUUGCUUUUUGAUUAUCUAGACAGUGUGAAGAAGUGAAGUAUUGAAAUUAUUUUAUGUUGCAUAAUGACAACAUGUUGCCCCUAUACAUUUAAGGACAAAGUUCAAUGACCGCCACCUGCUGGAGGGUGAGUGCAGAGGGCCGUGUAAUUGUUGAGCUGGACAAAGAGAACACCUUUGCUGAUGCGAUGUCAGUCUUCUUUGGUUCAUUCUAUGUAUUGAACCUGGAAUACCAGGAGUCAGCGUGUGCAACAUUGGAACUAAUUCAGAGGUUUUUUGUAAGGAUAAACCCUGAAGAGGGAACAAAAUGUACCUCCAAGGUUGGGACAAGCAGACAGACUGGGACCACUGUGAAGUGAAAGGUUGUUCACAUUAACCCUCAUGUCACAACUUUCCUCCAGUGGCUUACUGAAUUUGAGUGGAGAACUUCAAAUUAGGUAACUGUUUUUGCCAUUUUUAGUGAAUUUCUUGUAUAAUUUAAGUGACCAAUGUGUUGUUACCUGUGUCUCCACAGAUGAUCCAUGGCCCAUGCUUUCUGGACAUUUACACAAGACGAACAACAAUGAAGACAAGCUCUCUCGCCAUCUUGCAAGACGCUGUCUCUGUCCAAUAGGUUUUUUGAGUGCAACAGUUUUGAUUUUUUUUUUCCUUCUUUUACCCGUUUGUUAAAAAUUAUUUCAGCUACUUACACUUUAAUUGUCACAUGUAUUGGCUCACCCUACAAAUCAAUGAACUCAGUCCACAAAGC
Molecule: RNA transcript, 2122 nt
Organism: Oreochromis aureus
Lineage: Eukaryota; Metazoa; Chordata; Actinopteri; Cichliformes; Cichlidae
Exons: 3
Source: RefSeq, a predicted model, not a curated record